UACAGAGGAUGCAAGCGUUAUCCGGAAUGAUUGGGCGUAAAGCGUCUGUAGGUGGCUUUUUAAGUCCGCCGUCAAAUCCCAGGGCUCAACUCUGGACAGGCGGUGGAAACUACCAAGCUGGAGUACGGUAGGGGCAGAGGGAAUUUCCGGUGGAGCGGUGAAAUGCGCAGAUAUCGGGAGGAACACCGGUGGCGAAGGCGGUUCUCUGGGCCUGUACUGACGCUGAGGAGCGAAAGCGUGGGGAGCGAACAGG
RNAcentral lists this ribosomal RNA (253 nucleotides) under uncultured bacterium. RNAcentral describes it as "partial 16S ribosomal RNA". It matches the Rfam family "Bacterial small subunit ribosomal RNA", at positions 524 to 776 of the family's 1533-position model. The record is from RNAcentral.